Triticum aestivum (bread wheat) is the source of this 2667-nucleotide RNA transcript. RefSeq lists it as uncharacterized. Lineage: Eukaryota; Viridiplantae; Streptophyta; Magnoliopsida; Poales; Poaceae. The transcript has 2 exons. The record is from RefSeq and is a predicted model, not a curated record.
UCCACUCCUCAAAUAAUGGGAGCAAGUUGGAGGGACGGCUCCUCCUCCUUUUCAGUUUCAGUUAUCAGCCACUUGAGCCCACUGAUCGAUGGCACGUCCAAAACCAGCGCACCACGCCCCAUAUUCCCUCACCAACCUUCACGUCUCCACAUCCAUGGCCGCUCGUCUCUCCCUCUGCAUGGCGGUGCUCCUCGUCUCGCUGAUGCCAUGUGGCGCGGCACAGCCGGCGUCAUCCAACGCCACCGACCUGGCCGCGCUGCUCGCCUUCAAAGCACAGGUCGAGGACUCUCUCGGCAUCCUCACCGGCAACUGGACCGCCGCCGCGUCCCCUUGCUCCUGGGUCGGAGUCUCAUGCGACCGCCGCGGGCAGCGCGUCACCGGCCUAGAGUUCGACGGCGUGCCGCUCCACGGCAGCAUCGCCCCGCAGCUUGGCAACCUCUCCUUCCUCUCCAGCCUCGUCCUCAGCAACGCUAGCCUCGCCGGCCCCGUGCCCAGCGAGCUUGGCGGCCUGCCCCGGCUCCAAAAUAUCGUCCUCUCGCACAACAAUUUGUCAGGUGCCAUCCCCUCCACCCUUGGCAACCGGCUGACGGGAGCGAUUCCUGACAGCAUCGGCUCGUUGCCGAAGCUCGAGUGGCUGGUCCUGGAAGGCAAUCUUCUCUCAGGCCCCAUGCCUCCUGCUAUCUUCAACAUGUCCCGGCUGCAAGUCAUAGCCAUCACAAGGAACAAUCUCUCAGGCCCAAUCCCUGGAAACGACAGCUUCUACCUCCCCAUGUUGGAAGUGUUGUCCCUCAAUGAAAACCAGUUUGAGACUUUGAGGGACCUAUCCCGCCAGGUCUUUCGGCGUGUCGGAACCUUGACACGCUCUCGCUCGCCGUGAAUAAUUUCACCGGUCCUGUGCCAUCAUGGUUGGCGACAAUGCCAAACCUCACAAGAAUUUACUUGUCGACAAAUGGCCUCACUGGAAAGAUCCCUGUGGAACUGAGCAACCACACUGAGCUUCUCGGUUUGGACCUUAGCCAGAACAAACUUGAGGGGGGAAUCCCACCAGAAUUUGGACGGCUGACAAACCUCAGGUUUAUGAGCUUUGCCAACAACCGAAUAACAGGUCCCAUUCCUGAUUCCAUAGGCAAUCUUUCUAACCUCACAACCAUAGAUUUCUAUGGAAAUGGUUUGACUGGAUCCGUGCCAAUUUCAUUUGGGAACUUGCUGAACCUUCGUCGCAUCUGGCUUGAUGGGAACCAGCUCAGUGGGAACCUCGACUUCCUGUCUGCAUUCUCAAAUUGCAGGAGCCUGAAUACAAUCAGCAUGGCAAACAACACAUUCACAGGGAGUCUGCCAGCCUACAUUGGAAACCUUAGCACAGUCCUCGAGACUUUUAUAGCAGAUAACAACAGGAUCACCUUCCAAGUAACUCACAUGCGCAGCAAGAAUAUGGAGUAUGAUCAGUGUCAUUCUUUGAUGGGCGACGGGGCUGCGAGCCUACCGCCCCCUCCUGAUCCGCCGCCGGCGGGGCGAUCGGCGCCGCCGCGGCCUGCUCGGGAGGAGUCGCUGCUGUCGGGGAGGUCACCAGAGGCCGGCAGAUCGCCGGAUCCGCAGACUGCGGCGGAGAUCGGGGGGUUUCUCCAUCCGGCCAAAUGGAAAAUUUUCUUCCAAGAUGUCCGGGAUGGCGGCCGUAGAUCGGAGGGAGUUCUCUACUCGUAUUACCCAUCGAGGUGGACGGUGGUGCGCGAUCUGGAUAGUGACAUCCUCGGAGGGGAGUACCUCAAAGCUGAUGAGGAGAUUAACGAAGGUACGCGGUUGCUCAUUGAUGUUUUUGAUGUUACCGUUCAUUCGCGUGUGCAGGAGGAACCGGAGAUUCUUGAUCACAUUGACUUGAUCGAUCUCACGGAGGAUCCAAAGCCCUCGAAGCCGCUUCUUUCCUGCCGGGCGAUGAGGGGAGCGACUAGCGGGGCGACUCGCGACCCUCCCGUGGCGACCGUCGCCGGCCGCCGGCGGGAGUCGCCGGAUCCCAUUGAGGCGCGCGUAGGAGGGCGUUUCUGGGCGCUAGCGGACUCGGAAGAUGAUGAGGACGACGAUGUUCCGGUGCCGGACUACUCGCCAACACCAUCCGACGUGAUCUGCGAGGCGUUCAAACCAGGAUUCUCGGAGGAAGAUGUCGCUGCGUUGGUGGAUGAGAUCGUGCCCGGAGAGGAUCCGGCGCGGCUAGGCCUGCGUUCCACCGACCGGCUCGAGGUGGUACGCCGGAUUGUUCACCGGAGAACGGCGGCGACGGCGAUCCGACCAUGGAAAGGGCCUCUGCCUAAGGUUUUAUUCCGGACUACGGCUCUGAUUCGUUCAUGGUCGCUACUCACCCAGACGGAGGCCAGGGAGCAUUUGGUUACUGGGUCUGUCCGUUGGGAGAUGGUAGCUCGGGAUAUCUUCAACCGGUUUGGAUGGCGGUCAUGUAAUAGGAUAGGCAUUUAGUAUUCCUAUCUAGUUUGCCCCGCCGGUUGUGGCUCUUUGAUGUGGCUAGCUUGAUGUAUCUAGCUUAUCCGGGCUCUGUGUGAGCUUGUGUUGCUUUCUUUUUUCAUUUUUCAGGACCUUUGGAACCUUGUUGAUACUACUCUAUUUUGUUUAAUAAGAGGGCCGUAUGCAUCAUGCUGAUGCAGAGGCCGGGGUAUCCCCCCU